This 215-nucleotide ribosomal RNA is filed under the name uncultured bacterium. RNAcentral describes it as "partial 16S ribosomal RNA". It matches the Rfam family "Bacterial small subunit ribosomal RNA", at positions 29 to 245 of the family's 1533-position model. The record is from RNAcentral.
ACGAACGCUGGCGGCGUGCUUAACACAUGCAAGUCGAGCGGUAAGGCCCGUUUCGGGGGUACACGAGCGGCGAACGGGUGAGUAACACGUGGGUGACCUGCCCUCAGCUCUGGGAUAAGCCUGGGAAACCGGGUCUAAUACUGGAUAUGACUCCAUGACGCAUGUUGUGGGGUGAAAGCCUUGUGCGGCUGAGGAUGGGCCCGCGGCCUAUCAGC